AAGCACACCCUACCCCCUCCUCUCUCCUCUCUUUCCCUCCUUUCACCUAAACUAGUGGCUGCCCUCAUUUUCUCUCUCUCUCUCUCUCUCUCUCCUUGCCAAAAAUGGCAAAAGUUCAGAGGUUUCAGACCUCAAUCAGUUUUUGUAUGUCCCUUUGCGACAAAGAAUUAAUGCAUCCGUCCUAUUUCCACUCAUUCUCACCACACACCGCCUUAGAGGUAUAAAGUUACUCCCAAUUUCACUUUUUUCUUUUACUUUCUUGCCUGAAUCUAGGACAAUAGCAUUAAGUAAUGUUGUUUCUUCCAUUUGAAACCCUCGAUGCCCAUUGGUUCUUCAAGUACCAACUGGAUCGAGGGAGAUUGGCUCAAAUCCAGCCAUACAUUGUUGCAUUACAUUGAUCUCAGUCGUUUAUUCCAGUAACAAGCAAGAAUUUCUCAAAAAAUUACAUUAUAUCCCACAUCGAUGGACUAGGGUUUAGUAUUUCUGGGGGGUUCUAUUUUUAUUGAAUUCGGGGGAGAAAAAAAAGGAUUUUUGAUACCCAAAAGGAUUGAAUCUUGAACAUUUAACUCAAAUUUAGGCCACUAGUAAAAAAAAAAAAUAGACUUAGCUUUUAAAGAAGUUGAGUCUUCCUAGUUCUAAAACUUGUUUCUUUUCUGUUUGUGUGGCUGAGUUCUUGGAUUGGAAGCACUAAGGCUCCAAGUUCAAUCUUGUUCGCGGUUGCACAUCAAAAAGUGCAUGACCACUCGGGCCGGGUCAAAGCCAACCUGUUGGGCCAAGGCUCAACAGGUCACUGCUUUCACAAUAAAGGGUCCGAGAACGUGAAAAGGGAAGCAAUUAUUAUAGACGUAUAUAAAGGCCCAGCCAUGGGUGAAAAUGGCCAACUAGGGGCUUGGUAUGCCCCUAGCCCAACUCACUUUUAUAUACGCAUUUGUAUUUUGAUGUUGUAUUUGUAUUUAUAUAUUUGUAAAGCGCUUGUACUGAUUGGAAUCUUUAUAGUUAUGAACUAGUCGUCUUAGGACAA
Lycium barbarum (goji berry) is the source of this 1021-nucleotide long non-coding RNA. RefSeq lists it as uncharacterized. The record is from RefSeq and is a predicted model, not a curated record. NCBI's taxonomy places the organism in Eukaryota, Viridiplantae, Streptophyta, Magnoliopsida, Solanales, Solanaceae. The transcript is spliced from 2 exons.